GAUGAACGCUGGCGGCGUGCCUAAUACAUGCAAGUCGAGCGAACGGACGAGAAGCUUGCUUCUCUGAUGUUAGCGGCGGACGGGUGAGUAACACGUGGAUAACCUACCUAUAAGACUGGGAUAACUUCGGGAAACCGGAGCUAAUACCGGAUAAUAUUUUGAACCGCAUGGUUCAAAAGUGAAAGACGGUCUUGCUGUCACUUAUAGAUGGAUCCGCGCUGCAUUAGCUAGUUGGUAAGGUAACGGCUUACCAAGGCGACGAUGCAUAGCCGACCUGAGAGGAGGAGCAGCCACACUGGAAAUGAGACACGGUCCAGACUCCUACGGGAGGGAGCAGUGGGGAAUAUGGGACAAUGGGCGCAAGCCUGAUACAGCCAUACCGCGGGGGGGAAGAAGGCCUUCGGGUUGUAAAGCCCUUUUGUUGGGAAAGAAAAGAAGCAGGUUAAUACCCCGCUGUUCUGACGGUACCCAAAGAAUAAGCACCGGCUAACUUCGUG
Molecule: ribosomal RNA, 497 nt
Filed under: uncultured bacterium
Lineage: Bacteria
Description: partial 16S ribosomal RNA
Rfam family: Bacterial small subunit ribosomal RNA
Source: RNAcentral